RNAcentral lists this ribosomal RNA (600 nucleotides) under Triticum aestivum (bread wheat). RNAcentral describes it as "partial small subunit ribosomal RNA". The record is from RNAcentral. Lineage: Eukaryota; Viridiplantae; Streptophyta; Magnoliopsida; Poales; Poaceae.
AUGUCUUCCUCCAGCGCCGCCCCAAGCAAUCUCGGUCAGGUCAUGGAGAAGCUCUCCCGGACGAACUACGUCCUGUGGCGAACUCAGGUUACGCCGCAGCUGAGGGGAGCUGGGCUCUUCAGCUACGUUGAUGGAACGAUGUCGGAACCCACCCGCCUCCUCGUCACCAAGGACAAGGACGGCAAGGAGUCGUCUGAGCUCAACCCUCUCCAUCCCAUCUGGGUGAAGGAGGAUCAACAAGUGCUCGGCUACCUCCUCAACAACCUCUCCAAGGAAGUGUUGAUCACGGUGACCACGGUCACCACCGCGCAUGCCCUCUGGGUGGCGCUUGCAGGCAUGUUUUCUUCUCAAUCUUUGAGCCGUGUAAACAAUAUUCGCACUGCCUUGAUCAAUGCACAGAAGGGCACCCAAUCGGUUGCUGCAUAUUACGCUCAUAUGCGUGGCUUUGCGAUGAACUCGCCGCGGCCGGCAAGCCCAUCCAGGACGAUGAGCUCAUCUCCUACCUGCUGCAUGGGCUGGAUAUGGACUACCAGCCUCUCGUCUCCGCCCUCGAUGCCCGUGUCACGCCGGUCUCCAUCGACGAGUUGUACUCCAUGCUGA